CGGCAGGCUUAACACAUGCAAGUCGAGGGGUAACAGGGAGCUUGCUCUGCUGACGACCGGCGCACGGGUGCGUAACGCGUAUGCAACCUACCUUCUACAGGGGGAUAGUCAAUAGAAAUGUUGAAUAAUACCCCAUACGAUCUUUGAGUGGCAUUACUUAAAGAGGAAAGCUUCGGCGGUAGAAGAUGGGCAUGCGUCCUAUUAGUUAGUUGGUGAGGUAACGGCUCACCAAGACCGCGAUAGGUAGGGGCCCUGAGAGGGGGAUCCCCCACACUGGUACUGAGACACGGACCAGACUCCUACGGGAGGCAGCAGUGAGGAAUAUUGGACAAUGGAGGCAACUCUGAUCCAGCCAUGCCGCGUGCAGGAAGACUGCCCUAUGGGUUGUAAACUGCUUUUAUACAGGAAGAAACCUACUUACGUGUAAGUAGCUGACGGUACUGUAAGAAUAAGGAUCGGC
This 460-nucleotide ribosomal RNA is filed under the name uncultured bacterium. RNAcentral describes it as "bacterial SSU rRNA". It matches the Rfam family "Bacterial small subunit ribosomal RNA", at positions 40 to 497 of the family's 1533-position model. The record is from RNAcentral.